Molecule: ribosomal RNA, 303 nt
Filed under: uncultured bacterium
Lineage: Bacteria
Description: partial 16S ribosomal RNA
Rfam family: Bacterial small subunit ribosomal RNA
Source: RNAcentral
AGCAGCAGCCGCGGGAAUACGUAGGGUGCAAGCGUUAAUCGGAAUUACUGGGCGUAAAGCGUGCGCAGGCGGUUUUGUAAGACAGAGGUGAAAUCCCCGGGCUCAACCUGGGAACUGCCUUUGUGACUGCAAGGCUAGAGUACGGCAGAGGGGGAUGGAAUUCCGCGUGUAGCAGUGAAAUGCGUAGAUAUGCGGAGGAACACCGAUGGCGAAGGCAAUCCCCUGGGCCUGUACUGACGCUCAUGCACGAAAGCGUGGGGAGCAAACAGGAUUAGAUACCCCUGUAGUCCCUGUCUCUUAUAC